AAAAUCCAUGCAGUUUCUGAACAAGACAAUGCUGCGACACAAUGAAUUGACAGACAGAGACUGCAACUUGGCCAAGUAGUCCAAGAAUGAGAAGUGAACAAAGAUAAAGAAGAUCUCCAAGCUUUAAGAAGGGCAAGACAAGGGAACACACUAGCCCGUGUCGAGGUUUCAGAAGUGGAAAGAGUGAGCAGUUCCAAGUCCUGGUUGUCAGCUUCUCUGAGGAUCUAUCUUCAGCCCAAUAUAUUGAUGCAGCUACAAAGAGGGCACAGCAGCGGCUAAAUUUUACUUGGAAUUUGAGAAGAUUUGGCAUGUCACCAAAGACACUAGCAAAUUUCUACAGAUGUACCAUGGAGAGCACUCUAACGCUGUCUAAUAU
Molecule: long non-coding RNA, 376 nt
Organism: Mobula hypostoma (lesser devil ray)
Lineage: Eukaryota; Metazoa; Chordata; Chondrichthyes; Myliobatiformes; Myliobatidae
Exons: 3
Source: RefSeq, a predicted model, not a curated record